This 1886-nucleotide long non-coding RNA is filed under the name Triticum aestivum (bread wheat). RNAcentral describes it as "long non-coding RNA (TAES_LNC011875)". Lineage: Eukaryota; Viridiplantae; Streptophyta; Magnoliopsida; Poales; Poaceae. The record is from RNAcentral.
CCGAGGCCGUUUACCAUUGCAGCGCCCCUUCCCCAGCCAUCAUGAGGUACACCCUACUCAAAAUUUCUCCUCUCCAGCUCUCGACUGUAAAGAUCUUCGUGCCUCCAUUCGAACUGUCAUUUUAUUUUGAAUUGAACUACGGGUGCUCUUCAUUCAGACCUGAGGGAAGAAAGGCAGAACCUUUCUUUCGUAGGCCGUCAUAGAUGGAUCGGCAAGGUUUUUUCCGGCUCACUGUCAGUGAUAAUAAACAAGUCAUUAGUCAAGAACAUUCGUUGGAUAAUGAAUUAGAUGUUCUAGGACCUUCAUAGGUUGUACCGGGAAUUAGGCGAGCACAUUCGUGGGAUAAUGAAUUAGGCGACCAACAGUCCAACCCGACUGCCCCAAGCAGUUCACCGUCGCAGCUGCUAGGCUGAUUGCGUCGAGCCUCCUGCCACUGCCGGUGGGGCUCCAUCGCUGCACUGCCCAUACCGUUCACCGCCGCCACACCGGGUCAUUCAAGGACACAACCCGAAGCAGUUCUACCCUGCGGCUCAAGAGGCACACACUUCGCCCCUCCAUCCCAGGAGAGCAGUACAUCUCCUUGUGCACGAGCAGUCCAUUGCCAAUGUACAUAGAUGAGAGGAAUUAAGUUCAGGAAGAUUAAAGGGUAAUGUUUAGAGAUGAGGCUGAGGGAUCUGGUUCAACACCCAUCACCCUUGUUUGGUUUUAUCAAUACUUGAUAAAUUACUAGAAGUUCAAAACAAGAUGUAGAAAUUCAUGUUUCCUGUGUAUAUAAGUUGUAGAAGUUGAUGCUUAAUAUUCUAGUUCGUGCUCCUCUGCAGGUCAACCUCCUGGGAUACACGAAGUUUCAGUUUGUCGAGAGGCUUCCUGGAGGUUCAAAACAUUUCACUUCACCUUUUUAGGCUUUUUCAGUACACCUUACAAAGUGUGUUUCCUUUCAUCAUUUUUGUCUACUUAAAAAGAAGUGUAGAAGCUUUAGGAAAUACCCCCAAAAUUAUGUGUGCCCUCAGCACUCUUCUACGUGCUUAUUCUAAUGCUUAUGAGAAUUAUUCUUCAAGGUCAUAAUUUGGAACUAGAUAACUUUUCAUAGAUGAUUGUACUGAAGCUAGGUGUUUAACAGAAUUAUUUCUCAUAAGUUUGCAACUCACCUUGGUCUGGGUUUACAUCUCAUCCACACCAGUUCACGAAAAAAGUUGGAACUUGCAUCUAUAUUUAUGUUUCCAGUUACCUUCGGUUAAUUGUACUGAACUUGUCUAAUUGUAGCUUACUAGUACUAAACUUUUGUGCCUGUGCUACCUUUUGUAGAUAGUUUUUGCCAUGUGCUUCUAUUGAACUUGUGUGUGGUUGCUUUUGAACUGUUCCUUAGUGAUAAUUCCUGGAAUUUGAAAUAAAUGCAUAUGUGAUGCACAGUUGCAGAUUGUAUAUCAUGGCAAAGACUAUUUCAAUGGGAGGUUCAACCAGAAGAGUUCAAAACACAAGAACUCUAGGAGUUCGCAGAACAAAAUCUACUGUGAGAGUUUGCACUUGUGUGUGCAGUGCAUGUGUUAGGUGUAUGUCUUUUGUGUAUGAUCUGGACACUGAAGAAAGAAAACACAAGGACUCGGUCCAUGUAUAAUUUUCUACCGUUUUUGCACUAAAAUCUUUGGUCUGAAAUGUAUGAGUUUUGUACAAUAUUUGGCUUUGUAUGUUGUAUCUAUAACAUGUGACUUAUAGCGCCACUGUUUAUCGAAAGAAAAAUCCAGUUACAGCCUCUGCAGUUACAUUAUUGUGGAAUUUUUUACUGUGAAUAUCAUACCUCUAAAAAUUUAUUGCACAAAAAUAACUUCAGUGGUUAUUUUGAGAAGUACAAACUCUCUGGUACGAUAAGUUCGAGUGGAAGCUCCCAG